GUGAAUCAUCGAAUCUUUGAACGCAAAUUGCACUCUCUUCGGAGAGUAUGACUGUUUGUGGGCCAGCCUAUAAAAAAUCGACAUCGUUGCUGUUUCGUGGCGGUGUUCGUCGGACACUGGGUUAUCUUAAAUCCUUUUGGUUUUUAAGCGACUUAAAAUUUUCUUUUUGGUUCUAUGAACGUUUCUAAGAUUUAUUUCUUUACACGUUUAAGGUAUCGAUUUUUAUUAGACGUGACCUUCAUAUCGGAUCGCGUUCUUAAUCUUUCAUU
RNAcentral lists this unclassified non-coding RNA (269 nucleotides) under Glomus sp. RNAcentral describes it as "partial contains 5.8S ribosomal RNA and internal transcribed spacer 2". The stretch from base 1 to 65 matches the Rfam family "5.8S ribosomal RNA", at positions 84 to 154 of the family's 154-position model. Lineage: Eukaryota; Fungi; Glomeromycota; Glomeromycetes; Glomerales; Glomeraceae. The record is from RNAcentral.